UACGGAAGGCAGCAGUGGGGAAUAUUGCACAAUGGGCGAAAGCCUGAUGCAGCUAUGCCGCGUGUAUGAAGAAGGCCUUAGGGUUGUAAAGUACUUUCAUCGGGGAGGAAAAAACAAAACUAAUAAUUUUAUUUCUUGACGUUACCCGAAAAAGAAGCACCGGCUAACUCCGUGCCAGCAGCCGCGGUAAUACGGAGGGUGCUAGCGUUAAUCAGAAUUACUGGGCGUAAAGAGCACGUAGGUGGUUUUUUUAAGUUCAGAUGUGAAAUCCCUGGGCUUAACCCUAGGAACUGCAUUUUGAAACUGAAAUACUAGAGUAUCGUAGAGGGAGGUAGAAUUCUAGGUGUAGCGGUGAAAUGCGUAGAUAUCUGGAGGAAUACCUGUGGCGAAAGCGGCCUCCUAAACGAAUACUGACACUGAGGUGCGAAAGCGUGGGGAGCAAACAGGGAUUAGAUACC
Molecule: ribosomal RNA, 458 nt
Filed under: uncultured bacterium
Lineage: Bacteria
Description: bacterial SSU rRNA
Rfam family: Bacterial small subunit ribosomal RNA
Source: RNAcentral